RNAcentral lists this ribosomal RNA (294 nucleotides) under uncultured microorganism. RNAcentral describes it as "partial 16S ribosomal RNA". It matches the Rfam family "Bacterial small subunit ribosomal RNA", at positions 505 to 796 of the family's 1533-position model. The record is from RNAcentral.
GUGCCAGCAGCCGCGGUAAUACGGAGGGUGCGAGCGUUAACCGGAAUUACUGGGCGUAAAGCGCGCGUAGGUGGCUUGAUAAGCCGGUUGUGAAAGCCCCGGGCUCAACCUGGGAACGGCAUCCGGAACUGUCAGGCUAGAGUGUCAGGAGAGGAAGGUAGAAUUCUCGGUGUAGCGGUGAAAUGCGUAGAGAUCGGGAGGAAUACCAGUGGCGAAGGCGGCCUUNUGGACUGACACUGACACUGAGGUGCGAAAGCGUGGGUAGCAAACAGGAUUAGAUACCCCUGGUAGUCC